UGCACGAUUAUUGUCUUUCCUUGUACGUUUAAUUGAUGCUAUGAGGAGGAAUACAAAUCCUACGUUGAAGAAGAUUUUGUGGUUGGUGGAUAUUGUUCAAUGGGCAUUCCCAAAGUUGUAUCAAAAGUAAAACAGAAUCUUCAGUUUAUUCUAUUCUUAUUUUUUAAAUAACUGUUGUACUUUCGGAAUUGUAGAAUUCAUGACUGAUAGGGAAUAUGUUGAUUGUUAGACAUUCUAUGCAAUUUCAAUAAAACUGCCAUUUUUUUUU
This 268-nucleotide unclassified non-coding RNA is filed under the name Hevea brasiliensis (rubber tree). Lineage: Eukaryota; Viridiplantae; Streptophyta; Magnoliopsida; Malpighiales; Euphorbiaceae. The record is from RNAcentral.